CUGAACGCAGCACGGCGCCGCGCUCUUCCCAGUGCUGGCUCCCCUCUGUCCUCCAUUAAAGCUCGGCUCCAUCCCCGCUGUACGGCGCAGGCCCGAAGUAGCGCAGCCGCUCUGAGUAUUUCAACUGUGGAUCUAGCUGCAUUGACCAGGUGGCUCAUAAUGGAGGAGCACGCCGUACACCAAACCGAGCACAUGACCACCAUUGAAGCCAGCGCUGUCAGCCAACAGGUACACGUUGACACGUUUAAUGAAUCUUCCAUGAUGAGCGCCGAUGAAGACUCCACGUCGUCACCAGACGACGACCCGUACGACGACACGGAUAUCCUCAACUCAGCUGGCACUGAUGAGGUCACGGCUCACCUGGCUGCUGCAGGACCAGUAGGCAUGGCGGCUGCAGCCGCCGUGGCGACGGGCAAGAAAAGAAAAAGGCCCCACAUCUUCGAGUCCAACCCUUCCAUCCGCAAGAGGCAGCAGACACGUCUGCUCAGGAAGCUACGAGCCACGUUAGACGAGUACACCACCAGAGUGGGCCAGCAGGCCAUCGUGCUGUGCAUCUCGCCGUCCAAACCCAACCCCGUGUUCAAAGUGUUCGGUGCCGCUCCUCUGGAGAACGUGGUGAGAAAAUAUAAGAACAUGAUCCUGGAGGACCUGGAGAACGCGCUGGCUGAGCACGCCCCCGCCGGAGGAGAGCUGGCCUCAGAGCUGCCCCCUCUCACUAUCGACGGCAUCCCCGUGUCCGUGGAUAAAAUGACUCAGGCGCAGCUCCGAGCGUUCAUCCCGGAGAUGCUGAAGUACUCCACGGGCCGAGGGAAGCCCGGCUGGGGCAAAGAGAGCUGCAAGCCGGUGUGGUGGCCCGACGACAUCCCCUGGGCCAACGUGCGCAGCGACGUCCGCACAGAGGAGCAGAAACAGAGAGUGUCGUGGACGCAGGCGCUGCGGACCAUCGUGAAGAACUGCUACAAGCAGCACGGCCGCGAGGACCUGCUGUACGCCUUCGAAGACCACCAGGUCACCACGGCGACCACCACCCAGCACCACCUGACGGCCGCGCAGAGCAUAGCUCACCUCGUGCCCUCUCAGACGGUGGUGCAGACCAUCAACAACCCCGACGGGACCGUCUCGCUCAUCCAGGUCGGCACGGGACACACAGUGGCCACCCUGGCAGACGCCUCGGAGCUGCCCGGCGUGACGGUGGCCCAGGUCAACUACUCAACUGUGACUGACGGAGAGGUGGAACAAAACUGGGCCACCCUCCAGGGCGGAGAGAUGACAAUCCAAACCACUCAAGCAUCGGAGGCCACGCAGGCGGUGGCGUCCCUGGCGGAAGCCGCCGUCGCUGCCAGUCAGGAAAUCCAGCCCGGCGCCACGGUCACGAUGGCGCUCAACAGUGAAGCGGCGGCUCACGCCGUGGCGACGUUGGCAGAGGCGACCCUUCAAGGAGGGGGGCAGAUCGUCCUGGCGGAGACGGCGGCCGCUGUGGGGGCGCUGGCCGGGGUUCAGGACGCCACAGGUCUGGUCCAGAUCCCGGUCAGCAUGUACCAGACGGUGGUCACCAGCCUGGCCCAGGGGAACCGGCCCGUCCAGGUGGCCAUGGCGCCGGUGGCCACGCGCAUCGACAACACGGUGACGCUGGACGGCCAGGCGGUGGAGGUGGUCACCCUGGAGCAGUGACGCCGGCCGCCCCGCCAGGAGUAGAAGCCACUGAGCGGCCGCCUCCCCGUCCGCCAGCCAAUCACGCCGCGUACAAUGUCAGAAUAUAUUUUAAAAAGGAGUCCGCUAUCAAUGCAUCCUGUUUACUAUAGACGAACCAAAAAGCCCGGGAGGAAACGCCGCCGCUGCAAACCGCUCGCCCGCGUUACCGACGGUUACUGGGGAUGAUCGUCGAUGUCGUGCGUUUGUCAGACAUCUUGAACGUCGGUGCCAUACCCAGAAGUCACUCCUCCGAUCACAGCUCUGAUUUUCACCCUCCCCACUUCGAUCGCUCUCUGUACAGACACUCCCUCCUGCUCCCGCGUCAGACGAACACGUUAUGUUGGAAUGUCGUCUUGUUGUGUGUUAUUCCCCCCACCACAGACACACACACACACACACACACACACUUUCCCCCAACUGCAGUCCACGCACACGCCAAAAUCUGCGAAGACUCAGGACACACAUGAAAUGGUUUGGGGUUUUUUUUUUAAAUCUCUGGAUUGAUGAACUGUUUCGCCCGGAUCCAUGCAUUUACUGUUAUUUUUUAAGAUGACCGUCUUUGUACGUCUGCAAUCGCUCUGUACGACACGGGAGGCGGGCCGCGCUCCGACAGGAACUCACACACAGACGAGACCUCCGAAACAAAACAAUGAAAAAAAAAAAAAAAAAAAAAAACGAGUGCUUUACCAUGAAUCUGUAACACUUGGUUUAACUCAC
Salarias fasciatus (jewelled blenny) is the source of this 2409-nucleotide RNA transcript. It is a transcript of the gene named nuclear respiratory factor 1, with no coding region annotated. The transcript has 13 exons. The record is from RefSeq and is a predicted model, not a curated record. NCBI's taxonomy places the organism in Eukaryota, Metazoa, Chordata, Actinopteri, Blenniiformes, Blenniidae.